UUUAUUUUUUUUAUUUUGUUAUUUGCAGGGUACUAUCGUACAUGUCCGGUCAAUGCUGAAUGGGCGGAAAAUUUUAAAGUAUUUUGACCGAUGGAGUGACUAUUCAACUAGCAAAUUUUCAAGUUGAUUUCGGUAAAUCUAUUUAAUAUUUUGAAUUACAAAUUUUAGCUUUGAUUAAUAUAUUUUGAGACUACUCGUCCACUAGACGGGCCUGAACACUAGUUUUGAGAAUAAAUGAAAAAAAGCAAAGGUCCAGGGAGUAAAUCGACAAUAAAAAGAAGUCAUAUAUCAUAGCUAAUUAAGAGAGUUCAAUCCGCCAACUACAUCACCAAAAAAACUUCUAGGAAAAACCAAUAGAGGGAAAAGAGGGAGGCCAAAAAUUAAGAUUCUUAAGUCGUCUAAGUAUCGUCCGUCUAUGGGUUUCAACAAGAAAGAUAUCUGGUCCGUCAAUAUUUUAAGAUGGGAUAUGUAUGAUGCUUCAUGAAGGAGAUAUUGAGGAAAAUUCAUGUUCAGACUGCAAAUGAAUCAAAAUCUACUAUUCUAGUGAGUGCAUUAAGACUUUUUAGCCAAAAAUUGAAGUAUAACUCAAAGUUAAAUGAGGUCAGCUGUAAAAGAUUUGAACAUUCGCCAAGUACUCUUACCUUGGAUCCUGGCCGAGGCUAGUCUGAGUUGUAAAUUCUCCAAUUUUGAUUUGGUUAUGUAAGCAAAUUCCAACUAAUAAACUUCUCCUUU
Molecule: long non-coding RNA, 732 nt
Organism: Erigeron canadensis
Lineage: Eukaryota; Viridiplantae; Streptophyta; Magnoliopsida; Asterales; Asteraceae
Exons: 2
Source: RefSeq, a predicted model, not a curated record